RNAcentral lists this ribosomal RNA (464 nucleotides) under Vreelandella stevensii. Its description in RNAcentral is "partial 16S ribosomal RNA". It matches the Rfam family "Bacterial small subunit ribosomal RNA", at positions 338 to 794 of the family's 1533-position model. Lineage: Bacteria; Pseudomonadati; Pseudomonadota; Gammaproteobacteria; Oceanospirillales; Halomonadaceae. The record is from RNAcentral.
CCUACGGGGCGCUGCAGUGGGGAAUAUUGGACAAUGGGCGAAAGCCUGAUCCAGCCAUGCCGCGUGUGUGAAGAAGGCCUUCGGGUUGUAAAGCACUUUCAGUGGGGAAGAAAGCCUUGGGGCUAAUACCCUCGAGGAAGGACAUCACCCACAGAAGAAGCACCGGCUAACUCCGUGCCAGCAGCCGCGGUAAUACGGAGGGUGCGAGCGUUAAUCGGAAUUACUGGGCGUAAAGCGCGCGUAGGCGGUCUGAUAAGCCGGUUGUGAAAGCCCCGGGCUCAACCUGGGAACGGCAUCCGGAACUGUCAGGCUAGAGUGCAGGAGAGGAAGGUAGAAUUCCCGGUGUAGCGGUGAAAUGCGUAGAGAUCGGGAGGAAUACCAGUGGCGAAGGCGGCCUUCUGGACUGACACUGACGCUGAGGUGCGAAAGCGUGGGUAGCAAACAGGAUUAGAUACCCUAGUAGU